Molecule: long non-coding RNA, 810 nt
Filed under: Portunus trituberculatus (swimming crab)
Lineage: Eukaryota; Metazoa; Arthropoda; Malacostraca; Decapoda; Portunidae
Description: uncharacterized LOC123499015, transcript variant X2
Source: RNAcentral
GGGGGGGUGAGAGACGAGAACCGAAGGAAGGUCAAGAGUUCAGAACACCAGCCGGACCAUUGCUCAUCCAGACACCACGCCCGCAACACCUCCAGUCACCACGCUACCACCGACCCGGCGAGUCUACGCAGCCUAGUGACCGCCUGUGGCUUGUCGUUGGGUGUGACUUGCAGAACAGCAGCGGGGAGGUUGACCUAUGUGACGGUAGUUUCGUGCGGCGCAGUGUCGUUUCACACAGCACAGCACAGCACAGCACAGCACAGCGGAGAGGAGUUGGCAAUCCAAAGGCCUGACAACAGCGAUAAUGAGCCUCGUCUACCAUCGAGUCUAGUUUACCAUUGACAACGCCCCCUACCAACACCACUGCCUCGCCACCGCCGUAAGAUCUGGGAAAGACUCUGCCUUGCAUCGCGCCCACACACGCUGUAUUCUAACGCCGCCACUGAAAGAUACUGGCUGAGUGGGUGAUAGGAAGGCAGGUGUGGUGUUAAGGCGUAUUGGCGACGAGAACCAGCAGAUGACGUGACACGGAAGAUUCCACUAACCAAGAAUUGGCGAUCCAAAGGCCUGAGUGCAGAGAUCCCGUGACUCCUGCACCAUCAGGGAGGGACUCUGACAUCCCGUGGCCUUCACUGACCGCCAGUGACACCGCCGCUCCUCGCAUUGGGCCUUCACUGCCGUCCCGUUAACAUGUCCCGCCGUCGCUGCUAACACGUCCCGCCGUCACCGCUACUGCCACCACCACCACCGCCUCCAUCAUCCAGUGAAAGAUUCUGCCUCGCAUCAGACGUCCUGCCGCUACCACCACCA